RNAcentral lists this ribosomal RNA (443 nucleotides) under uncultured bacterium. Its description in RNAcentral is "partial 16S ribosomal RNA". It matches the Rfam family "Bacterial small subunit ribosomal RNA", at positions 338 to 795 of the family's 1533-position model. The record is from RNAcentral.
CCUACGGGUGGCAGCAGUGGGGAAUAUUGGGCAAUGGGCGCAAGCCUGACCCAGCAACGCCGCGUGAAGGAAGAAGGCUUUCGGGUUGUAAACUUCUUUUCUCAGGGACGAAGCAAGUGACGGUACCUGAGGAAUAAGCCACGGCUAACUACGUGCCAGCAGCCGCGGUAAUACGUAGGUGGCAAGCGUUAUCCGGAUUUGCUGGGUGUAAAGGGCGUGUAGGCGGGACUACAAGGCAGAUGGGAAAAUCACGGGCUCAACCUGUGGCCUGCAUGUGAAACUGUAGUUCUUGAGUACUGGAGAGGCAGACGGAAUGCCUAGUGUAGCGGUGAAAUGCGUAGAUAUUAGGAGGAACACCAGUGGCGAAGGCGGUCUGCUGGACAGCAACUGACGCUGAGGCGCGAAAGCGUGGGGAGCAAACAGGAUUAGAUACCCUUGUAGUC